RNAcentral lists this long non-coding RNA (324 nucleotides) under Populus tremula. RNAcentral's name for it is "long non-coding RNA (PTRE_LNC000174)". The record is from RNAcentral. Lineage: Eukaryota; Viridiplantae; Streptophyta; Magnoliopsida; Malpighiales; Salicaceae.
AACAAACAAAUAUUUACUUAAUCUUUAUCCACCAAUCAACUUUAAUGAUUACACAACUUCAAGUUUCUUGUAUUCUUUUCCUUCAAUGACCCAAAUCCACACAGCUUCGGUGACUUUUGAUUCCAAUGGCAUCAUGGAUGAAAAGGUUUAUCAUUUUGCUUUUGAACUUGGAGGGAAAAUAUCUCCCAAUGGAUGAUCCUACUCGAUUUCGGCGAUGACAUUAACGAUGUUCUCCGGUAACAUCAUGUGGCUCCAAGACCAAAUCCCUGCCUCCAAAUAAAUCUUCAAUUCCAAUCAUUCCUCCUCCAUUUUGAAAAAAAAAAA